This 402-nucleotide ribosomal RNA is filed under the name uncultured bacterium. RNAcentral's name for it is "bacterial SSU rRNA". It matches the Rfam family "Bacterial small subunit ribosomal RNA", at positions 355 to 774 of the family's 1533-position model. The record is from RNAcentral.
UGGGGAAUAUUGGACAAUGGGCGCAAGCCUGAUCCAGCCAUGCCGCGUGAGUGAUGAAGGCCUUAGGGUUGUAAAGCUCUUUCGCCAGGGACGAUAAUGACGGUACCUGGAUAAGAAGCCCCGGCUAACUUCGUGCCAGCAGCUGCGGUAAUACGACGGGGGCUAGCGUUGUUCGGAAUCACUGGGCGUAAAGCGCAUGCAGGCGGACUGAUAAGUCAGGGGUGAAAGCCCGAGGCUCAACCUCGGAACUGCCUUUGAUACUGUCAGACUUGAGUCCGGGAGAGGUGAGUGGAACUGCGGGUGUAGAGGUGAAAUUCGUAGAUAUUCGCAAGAACACCAGUGGCGAAGGCGGCUCACUGACCCGGUACUGACGCUGAGAUGCGAAAGCGUGGGGAGCAAACA